GCUGAGCAGGGCCGCGGACAGAGAGAAACGCCGAGGUCGAGGGGGCGCGGCCGCCCGGGUUCGGCGAUGGGGUUAUAGGAUCCGCGUUCGCCCCGCGCCCGCACAGCCAACGUCGCGCCGCAUUCUUAUUUCCGAAGACCCCUGGAGCUUGGGGUCCCACCCCAGCGGUCUUUCGGGGCGUCCUCUGCCCGUCAUGCGCCGCGCCGGCUCGGCCCGAAGCGCCCUGCGGACUCGCAGCCUGGGCCGCCCCAACCUGACGGCCCCGCGGGGGUCGGACGCGGGAGGAAAGGCCUCGCUUUCAGAGACUUAGCGGGAGGGCGGCCCCCGCCGUCCCUCUGGCCGGGUACUCAGCACGCGUUCUCCUCACUCCCAGGACUAGCGGAGCGGCGGGCGCGGACCGGGGCCUGGGGUCGGAGGCGGCGCAGCCAGAAAGGCGCCAGCGGCGCUGAGACGUUUGGGGGAAGGCGGGGGCUUCGCGACUCGGUGGCUGGAAGCGGAAUGAGGUUGGACCGGCCGGGCCAGCGUUCAGAGACCCGGCGGCUGGCGUCCUCGCGGACAUCCAUCUGCAGCGAACCCGGCAGAGGCUUUGGGAUUAGAUCCCUGACUCCUUCCAGUGUGCGCAUUGUUGAGAACACUGGCCUAGGAUAAGGGUGCACUUGGCAUCCAGGAGAUAAAGAGGAUGUCCAUGCAGGCCAAAAAAUUACCACGAGGGCUGAGCGCGGUGGCUCACGCCUGUAAUCCCAGCACUUUGAGAGGCCGAGGCGGGCGGAUCACGAGGUCAGAAGAUCGAGACCAUCCUGGCGAACACGGUGAAAUCCUGUCUCUACUAAAAAUACAAAAAAAUUACCUGGGCGUGGUGGCAGGCACCUGUAGUCCUAGCUACUCUGGAGGCUGAAAGGAAAAUGGCGUUAACCCGGGAGGCAGAGCUUGCAGUAAGCCGAGAUCGUGCCACUGCACUCCAGCCUGGGGGACGGUGAGACUCCGUCUCAAAAAAAAAAAAAAAAAAAAAAAUCACCACCAAAGUUCCGUAGCUCAAAAAAGAUGGGCUUUUUGAAUUUUGUUCUGGAAAAAAAACAUACUCUGUAUAAAAUGACAGCUGUAAAGUGAAAUGUAUUUC
Molecule: long non-coding RNA, 1117 nt
Organism: Symphalangus syndactylus (siamang)
Lineage: Eukaryota; Metazoa; Chordata; Mammalia; Primates; Hylobatidae
Source: RefSeq, a predicted model, not a curated record